Molecule: ribosomal RNA, 431 nt
Filed under: uncultured bacterium
Lineage: Bacteria
Description: partial 16S ribosomal RNA
Rfam family: Bacterial small subunit ribosomal RNA
Source: RNAcentral
CCUACGGGAGGCAGCAGUGGGGAAUAUUGGACAAUGGGCGCAAGCCUGAUCCAGCCAUGCCGCGUGGAUGAUGAAGGCCCUAGGGUUGUAAAGUCCUUUCGGCGGGGAAGCGGUACCCGCAGAAGAAGCCCCGGCUAACUUCGUGCCAGCAGCCGCGGUAAUACGAAGGGGGCUAGCGUUGCUCGGAAUCACUGGGCGUAAAGCGCACGUAGGCGGACUCUUAAGUCGGUGGUGAAAUCCUGGAGCUCAACUCCAGAACUGCCUCCGAUACUGGGAGCCUUGAGUCCGGGAGAGGUGAGUGGAACUGCGAGUGUAGAGGUGAAAUUCGUAGAUAUUCGCAAGAACACCAGUGGCGAAGGCGGCUCACUGGCCCGGACUGACGCUGAGGUGCGAAAGCGUGGGGAGCAAACAGGAUUAAUACCCUUGUAGUC